RNAcentral lists this long non-coding RNA (591 nucleotides) under Macaca nemestrina (pig-tailed macaque). Its description in RNAcentral is "lncRNA (ENSMNEG00000045811.1)". Lineage: Eukaryota; Metazoa; Chordata; Mammalia; Primates; Cercopithecidae. The record is from RNAcentral.
UAAAUUUCUACUCUUUCAAUCAGUGGGACAAAUUCACAUGCCAGUCGAGGCUGAUUCACCUGUUCAGUGCUGUGAGUGAUUUGAAGAGGACCACCUUCUCAGCACUUCUUUGGCCCAGAGUCACAGGAACACUCUUCUCAAGAAUGUGGUUCUGGGACCUCUGAGAGGGUCUGGAAUUAGGGUUCAGAUACCAUCCAUCUGUUAUGUGCUUUGAAGAUGCCACUCCAUCUGUGGGAUUCAAUUUACAUAAACUGAAGACUAUUCUUCUGAGUUGAAGUAAGGAGAGGCAUCUAUCCUCUCCUCCUGCAAAAUUAUUUGAUCUCCUGGAAGCAAAAAGCCCACUAUGAAGUUGUUCUUGCCAUGGGCUUCUGGAGGAGCUGACUGUCCUUUGGGAAGCUACAAAUACAGCCUUAAAAUCUGUUAGCAGGGAAGAGAGAGAGGCUUUUUCUGAGUGAUCAGAUUCCCUGGGUUGCCCUUAAUCUGGCACAUACUCCAGAACAGAAUGCACUGUUUUCCUCAGUGAUGGUGGCUAGCACACCCCGAAGGCCACCAGCACAGCCUAUGUGUCCAGUCUCCAGAGCCAGGACAGAG